This 907-nucleotide ribosomal RNA is filed under the name uncultured bacterium. RNAcentral's name for it is "bacterial SSU rRNA". It matches the Rfam family "Bacterial small subunit ribosomal RNA", at positions 8 to 916 of the family's 1533-position model. The record is from RNAcentral.
AGAGUUUGAUCAUGGCUCAGGAUGAACGCUGGCGGCGUGCUAACACAUGCAAGUCGAGCGGUAUAUAUCUAAACAAAACUUCGGUCUAGUGAGGAUAUAGAGAGCGGCGGACGGGUGAGUAACGCGUAGGCAACCUGCCCCAUACAGAGGGAUAGCCUCGGGAAACCGGGAUUAAAACCUCAUAACGCGAGAAGUUCACAUGGACUUUUCGCCAAAGAUUUAUCGGUAUGGGAUGGGCCUGCGUCUGAUUAGCUAGUUGGUGGGGUAACGGCCUACCAAGGCAACGAUCAGUAGCCGACCUGAGAGGGUAAUCGGCCACAUUGGAACUGAGACACGGUCCAAACUCCUACGGGAGGCAGCAGUGGGGAAUAUUGCACAAUGGGCGAAAGCCUGAUGCAGCAACGCCGCGUGAGCGAUGAAGGCCUUUGGGUCGUAAAGCUCUGUCCUUGGGGAAGAAAAAAAUGACGGUACCCUUGGAGGAAGCCCCGGCUAACUACGUGCCAGCAGCCGCGGUAAUACGUAGGGGGCAAGCGUUAUCCGGAAUUAUUGGGCGUAAAGAGUGCGUAGGUGGUUUUGUAAGCGCGGGGUGAAAGGCAAUAGCUCAACUAUUGUAAGCCCUGCGAACUGUGAGACUUGAGUGCAGGAGAGGAAAGCGGAAUUCCUAGUGUAGCGGUGAAAUGCGUAGAUAUUAGGAGGAACACCAGUGGCGAAGGCGGCUUUCUGGACUGUAACUGACACUGAGGCACGAAAGCGUGGGGAGCAAACAGGAUUAGAUACCCUGGUAGUCCACGCCGUAAACGAUGAGCACUAGGUGUCGGGGCCGCAAGGUUUCGGUGCCGCAGUUAACGCAUUAAGUGCUCCGCCUGGGGAGUACGCACGCAAGUGUGAAACUUAAAGGAAUUGACGG